Long non-coding RNA from Ornithorhynchus anatinus (platypus), 817 nucleotides. RefSeq lists it as uncharacterized. NCBI's taxonomy places the organism in Eukaryota, Metazoa, Chordata, Mammalia, Monotremata, Ornithorhynchidae. The transcript has 2 exons. The record is from RefSeq and is a predicted model, not a curated record.
GGAUGAAGACGAAGGAGAAGCCUUCCUGGAUUGGAGCGAUGAUGAUAAGGAGUUCGAUCCAAGCACUCUUCCGGAUCCCGAUAAGCACAGAGACUCCGGAGAUGAAGAGGAUUGUAAUAUGGAAGAUGAUAGUGACCCUGGAAAGGCACGGACAGUGCGGAAAAGAAACUACAGCAGCAGUGAAGGGGAAGAAGAGCUGCCCAAGGUCAAGCGACCUAAAAAGGCCAAGCAGAAGAAAGAAGCAUUUGAGCCACUGGAUACAGGCCUUUCUUUGGCAGAAGAUGAAGAGUUGGUGCUCCAUUUACUCAACAGUCACAGAUAAUUAUUUCUCUCCCCUUCCCUCUUAAGGUCGUUGUUGCUGUUAUGUUGACAAGUGAUACAAAAACAAUUUGUUUUAGGGCACAUUGGAUACCCUUCACGUUGAUAAAUGAGUUCUAGGCACGAAGGAUCCUUGUUUCUGAGCAGCGACCAGAAAUUAAAAUAGGUCUGUGCAUGCCCCCGUCUCAGAGUGGGCCCAAGGUGUGGGGGAUGUUCGAGGUCUCCGAGCCAGCUUUCCAGUAUAAUUCCCUCCCUGUCUUUUCCCCAUCUCCCUUCGUUUCCAAUGGAGGACUUCUGUCGGAACUUACCGGGAGAGGUGAAGAUCUUCGUCGGUCUUUCGUUUCUCAGUUCUUCCCCGUAAACCUCCCCGUAGCCCCGACGACUGUAAUAUCUGAAAAGACAAAGCGGCAGAGGAGUGCUGAGAAGGGGUGUUUUUGUAAGUGGCUGCUGAUGAGCGAUAAGAGUGUUUCUCACAAAAUAAAACGCAGAUUUGUUUUCA